AAGGCGAAAACCGAAAAGCCUAUAAUAGAGUAGGUA
This 36-nucleotide non-coding RNA is filed under the name unclassified sequences. The record is from Rfam.